GGCAGCAAGUAACUAUUGUCUUGACCUUUCCAGUCCUGCAGAGCAGCCUCAACACAGAAAAGAAUACCACAAACUCUUGUUGGAAAUCAUAGUUCUAAGGAGAAAGAGAAAAAGGGAGAUAACUCUGCAAAAAAUCAAGGAAAUUCAGAGAAAAUCAUGAGAAAAUACAAGAAAUUCAAAGGAAAGCUUAAACUAAAUUGAAGAAGCUAAAAAUCAAGGUGAAAUGGGGACCCCAUUGAACAAAUUGCAAGCAAGGUUGAGCUCGCGGAGAUGGCGAAGUGAGAAGAGGGAGGUAUUGGGGAAAAUGUUAGGUUUAAGGAGCUGGCUAGAGCUGAGGUCAAGGCUGAUGACGUCACCUGUGAUAGGCCUGUGAUCCCGUCACAAGUGACACCAUCCCAGCUGCAACAAUCAUUCCGCUCCUUCCAAGACCCUUCUCUGGUAUCUCACCAAGAGCAAAUGCAUCAAUGGAAAACAAUUGGCUGAACUGGAGCAGAGCAGCACUCUGUUAAUGAGGAUACAAUAGGCACCCCCACCACCACCACAGCUACGCCACUGGAAGAGUGAUCAAGUGAAGAGUAGGAGGAGAAGGAUGAGCAAAUGGGAAGUACUCCAAAUUGCAAUGUCAGGAAGUAUAAGUGCAUAUGUGGGCCACAAGUACUGAGCUAUCCAACCAUACCUCUCCAUGAUACUAGUUAAUCAAUCUUAAUUAUGUUCUUAUGUGUAUAUAUGUGUGCACAUGUAUAUAUAUUGUUGGCUUGUUGCUAGCUAGUAGAAAAUAGAAAAUAGGAUAAAAUGUGUAACACAAGUUGUAAGUCCAACCCAAAGCGUGGAACCAAGUACUUUGAAUGGCAUUCACGCAAACAAUGUAAUACUCCAAAAGAAAAUUGCAAAACAUUGGACAUGGAGAUUGAAAUUA
Molecule: long non-coding RNA, 916 nt
Organism: Malania oleifera
Lineage: Eukaryota; Viridiplantae; Streptophyta; Magnoliopsida; Santalales; Ximeniaceae
Exons: 2
Source: RefSeq, a predicted model, not a curated record